Molecule: long non-coding RNA, 2538 nt
Filed under: Mus musculus (house mouse)
Lineage: Eukaryota; Metazoa; Chordata; Mammalia; Rodentia; Muridae
Description: long non-coding RNA chrX:106283012-106285550
Source: RNAcentral
GAGAAGAGGCAUGGACUCUGCUGCUGCCACUCAGACCCCAUCAUGGAAAUAAAAUUUCAGCAGUGGGACCAUCAGUUUGACAACUUGUUCAGUGUAUUCCACAAAAACCUCCCUUUAAUUCCUUAGCAUAGCAAACCAACAUCUGGCAAGCCAUUGACUUUUCUUCCAGUCCUACAGUUUUAAUACCAAAACUUUGCUGAUCUCUGAGGUUCACAAAUUCCCAACCGUCAUCAUCACUCAUAUUCCCCAUGUCCUAGGUAUCUAGAAGGGCCACUUCAGGCUUAAUUGAAGCAGUCUUCAUCAGGGGCCCCAUAACCACGGGAAGGUACUGCUGGAAUUCUUUCCCAAGGAUUUUGCACAUCCUAGCUCAUGCUGAGAUCAUGUAAGAAAUCUGAGGGUCGUCAUAUUCCAUAUCAUUGAAGUCUGUCUGUGUCUUCAACAAUAGCUGCAUCACAUCUGAAGCAUCCUGCAUGAAUUUCUCCUUCCCGACUACCAGACCGAUGAGGCUGGUGCACUCGAUGGUCUUCCGUUGCAGCAGCUUCAGCUCCUGGACUGUGUUCUCGACAAUGUGCUUCAGUGAUGGCAUAAACAAGUCAUAGUAGGGGACAAACUUUUCCUCUGCAGUAUCUGCAACUGAUGCAAUGGCUGUCACAACUUGUUGCAAAACUAACUUGGUGCCUUUCUGAAUCAUCUCCUGGAUCUUGAGCACCAUGAUGGAGUGCAGGUACUUCACCAAGUUAUCCAAGUACAGACUAAGCAGUGACUUGGGACAAUCUUCAGUGAAGUUAAUAAGGGCAGCUACUGCAUGGGCCUGCACCCGCUGGUUGCCUUGGUCUUCCAUGGUCUGAAGCAAAGCUGCAAUCACCUUCUCAUGAAAUUUCUUUUGAAAACCAGGUGCAAAAUCUGUAGCCAUCUGACAUUGCAGGCUGCAUACCGGACUCUCGGAUGAGGAUCCUGGAGGAAAAGCAAGACAAAAUUUACAAUCUCACUUAGAGUUCCUUCCAUCUGCUGGUGGCAUCCUUUGUCAAUGGCAGAUAGGGCCAUUAAUCCUGCAUGCCUGUAUUUCCAAUCAGGGUUUUGAGGCAUUUACAUAAUGUGUUCCUUGAUCAUGGGCAGAACGAGUUUUCCACCAAGUCCACAGGCCAUUUCGUCUAAUGCACUUUCACUAACAACUGCAUUGCUAUUGAAAUCAUCAUCUUCUAGCUCAUCAGCAUUUGCCCAGUCCUCAUCUUCUUCUAGGUCAACCAUCAUUGCCAACAUCUGAGGAAUAGUCUGUGCGAUGAUAUUGGUGUGCUUUCUUAACAUAGCAGCUGCAGUCUCUGACAGUGUCACAAUCACUUCAAGGACAAGCUGGCAUUGCAUAUUAUUGAGGUUAGCGUCUCCACACAACUUUAGACUUAACUGCAGAGUUGCUUCUAAGUGAGGGUGCAAAUACUUUGGAACAGUAUCAGCAAUCUCAACAAGGAAUUUUAGGACAGAAUCAUCAUUCUGGUAACAUGAGUCAUUGACAGCCUGUAAGAAUCCAGGCAGCAAGUCUGCGAAGUGAAUGAACAGAGCACCAUUAUGCUCAUUGGCAAGUAUGAAGGCAGCAGUAGCUCUGGCAGACAGUGUCCUGAUCAAAAUAUGUGAAGGGCAGUUUCCCGGAUUCCCCUGUUUUGUGAGCUGACUGAAUCAAAGAGGAACUUCAAACCUUCAGGCCACUGGUUGUUGCUGUCCUCAUCUAUUAAAUUCCUGGCCAAUUCUGCAGCAAUAUCAUGAUUUUUUUUCUCAUGCUGGAUUGUGUUUCCAUCUGAAUGAUCAUUAGCAAUUCACUCUUGAUGGAAGUCUGGACAUCUGAUGGAAGAGCUGGAUAGACUUCAUCAAAUGCAGAGGAAAAAAAGAUGACUUAGGAGAACAGUGGCCAUUUGUCCAGUCUCCUCAGCAGCAGUUGUGUUUCUGAUGGCUUGUAAGAGGAAUGUGAUCUUGGACGGGCCAGGGACAUUCUCAUAGGUUUCCUCCCCCUGUUUCUGGACCACAUUGUCGGGGCUGAGCAGGUUUCUCAGGAGCAGGUAGAACUGUUGCUGCUCCGCACCGGCCACCACCAUUGCACUAGGCUUGAGAGCCAAACGUUGUCUCUUUAACUCCUUCCAUGGGUAUUUUGUUCCCAUUCUAAGGAGGAAUGAAUAUCCACACUUUGGUCUUCCUUCUUCUUGAUUUUCUGUGUUUGGCAAAAUGUAUCUUGGGUAUUGUAAGUUUCUGGGCUAAUAUCUACUUUUCAGUGAGCGCAUAUCAAGUGACUUCUUUUGUGAUUGGGUUACCACACUAAAGAUGAUAUCUUCCAGAUUUAGCAAUUUGCCCAAGAAUUUCAUAAAUUCAUUGUUUUUAAUAGCUGAGUAGUACUCUAUUGUGUAAAUGUACCACAUUUUCUGUAUCCAUUCCUCUGUUGAGGGACAUCUGGGUUCUUUCCAGCUUCUGGCUAUUAUAAAUAAGGCUGCUAUGAACAUAGUGGAGCAUGUGUUCUUAUUACAUGUUGGAACUUCUUCUGGGUAUAUGCCCAAG